This 459-nucleotide ribosomal RNA is filed under the name uncultured bacterium. RNAcentral's name for it is "partial 16S ribosomal RNA". It matches the Rfam family "Bacterial small subunit ribosomal RNA", at positions 338 to 795 of the family's 1533-position model. The record is from RNAcentral.
CCUACGGGGGGCAGCAGUGAGGAAUAUUGGUCAAUGGACGAGAGGCUGAACCAGCCAAGUCGCGUGAGGGCAGACGGCCCUACGGGUUGUAAACCACUUUUGUCGGGGAGCAAAGAGAGUCACGUGUGACGCAUUGAGAGUACCCGAAGAAAAAGCAUCGGCUAACUCGGUGCCAGCAGCCGCGGUAAUAAGGAGGAUGCUAGCUGUCUCCGGAUUGAUUGGGUUUACAGGGUGCGCAGGCGGAGGUGCAAGUCAGCGGUCAAAUUGCGGGGCUCAACCCCGUACUGCCGUUGAAACUGCAUCCCUUGAGUGCGCGAGAAGUAUGCGGAAUGCGUGGUGUAGCGGUGAAAUGCAUAGAUAUCACGCAGAACUCCGAUUGCGAAGGCAGCAUACCGGCGCGCAACUGACGCUCAUGCACGAAAGCGUGGGUAUCGAACAGGAUUAGAUACCCCAGUAGUC